This 1446-nucleotide ribosomal RNA is filed under the name uncultured organism. RNAcentral's name for it is "16S ribosomal RNA". It matches the Rfam family "Bacterial small subunit ribosomal RNA". The record is from RNAcentral.
CAGGCUUAACACAUGCAAGUCGAGGGGCAGCAUGGUCUUAGCUUGCUAAGGCCGAUGGCGACCGGCGCACGGGUGAGUAACACGUAUCCAACCUGCCGUCUACUCUUGGACAGCCUUCUGAAAGGAAGAUUAAUACAAGAUGGCAUCAUGAGUCCGCAUGUUCACAUGAUUAAAGGUAUUCCGGUAGACGAUGGGGAUGCGUUCCAUUAGAUAGUAGGCGGGGUAACGGCCCACCUAGUCUUCGAUGGAUAGGGGUUCUGAGAGGAAGGUCCCCCACAUUGGAACUGAGACACGGUCCAAACUCCUACGGGAGGCAGCAGUGAGGAAUAUUGGUCAAUGGGCGAGAGCCUGAACCAGCCAAGUAGCGUGAAGGAUGACUGCCCUAUGGGUUGUAAACUUCUUUUAUAAAGGAAUAAAGUCGGGUAUGGAUACCCGUUUGCAUGUACUUUAUGAAUAAGGAUCGGCUAACUCCGUGCCAGCAGCCGCGGUAAUACGGAGGAUCCGAGCGUUAUCCGGAUUUAUUGGGUUUAGAGGGAGCGUAGAUGGAUGUUUAAGUCAGUUGUGAAAGUUUGCGGCUCAACCGUAAAAUUGCAGUUGAUACUGGAUAUCUUGAGUGCAGUUGAGGCAGGCGGAAUUCGUGGUGUAGCGGUGAAAUGCUUAGAUAUCACGAAGAACUCCGAUUGCGAAGGCAGCCUGCUAAGCUGCAACUGACAUUGAGGCUCGAAAGUGUGGGUAUCAAACAGGAUUAGAUACCCUGGUAGUCCACACGGUAAACGAUGAAUACUCGCUGUUUGCGAUAUACUGCAAGCGGCCAAGCGAAAGCGUUAAGUAUUCCACCUGGGGAGUACGCCGGCAACGGUGAAACUCAAAGGAAUUGACGGGGGCCCGCACAAGCGGAGGAACAUGUGGUUUAAUUCGAUGAUACGCGAGGAACCUUACCCGGGCUUAAAUUGCAGAUGAAUUACGGUGAAAGCCGUAAGCCGCAAGGCAUCUGUGAAGGUGCUGCAUGGUUGUCGUCAGCUCGUGCCGUGAGGUGUCGGCUUAAGUGCCAUAACGAGCGCAACCCUUGUUGUCAGUUACUAACAGGUUCCGCUGAGGACUCUGACAAGACUGCCAUCGUAAGAUGUGAGGAAGGUGGGGAUGACGUCAAAUCAGCACGGCCCUUACGUCCGGGGCUACACACGUGUUACAAUGGGGGGUACAGAGGGUCGCUACCACGCGAGUGGAUGCCAAUCCCCAAAACCUCUCUCAGUUCGGACUGGAGUCUGCAACCCGACUCCACGAAGCUGGAUUCGCUAGUAAUCGCGCAUCAGCCACGGCGCGGUGAAUACGUUCCCGGGCCUUGUACACACCGCCCGUCAAGCCAUGGGAGCCGGGGGUACCUGAAGUGCGUAACCGCGAGGAGCGCCCUAGGGUAAAACUGGUGACUGGGGCUAAGUCAUAACA